RNAcentral lists this ribosomal RNA (556 nucleotides) under Hyphopeziza pygmaea. RNAcentral's name for it is "eukaryotic LSU rRNA". The stretch from base 191 to 344 matches the Rfam family "5.8S ribosomal RNA". Lineage: Eukaryota; Fungi; Ascomycota; Leotiomycetes; Helotiales; Hyaloscyphaceae. The record is from RNAcentral.
UGAACCUGCGGAGGGAUCAUUACAGAGUUCAUGCCCUAACGGGUAGAUCUCCCACCCUAUGUUAUUAAUACUAUGUUGCUUUGGCGGGCCGCUCGGGCGAGUCCCGACCACCGGCUUCGGCUGGUGAGCGCCCGCCAGAGGACCCAAAACCCUGAAUGUUAGUGUCGUCUGAGUACUAUAUAAUAGUUAAAACUUUCAACAACGGAUCUCUUGGUUCUGGCAUCGAUGAAGAACGCAGCGAAAUGCGAUAAGUAAUGUGAAUUGCAGAAUUCAGUGAAUCAUCGAAUCUUUGAACGCACAUUGCGCCCCCUGGUAUUCCGGGGGGCAUGCCUGUUCGAGCGUCAUUACAACCCUCAAGCUAAGCUUGGUAUUGGGCUUCGCCGCUAACCCGGCGGGCCUUAAAAUCAGUGGCGGUGCCGUCGUGGCCCUGAGCGUAGUAAAUAUCCUCGCUAUAGGGACACGGUGGUGACCGGCCAGCAACCCCCAACUUUCUAAGUUUGACCUCGGAUCAGGUAGGGAUACCCGCUGAACUUAAGCAUAUCAAUAAGCGGAGGAA